CGGGCAGUAGCAAUACUGUCAGUGGCGGACGGGUGAGUAACGCGUAGGAAUCUAUCCUUGGAAUGGGGGACAACCGUGGGAAACUACGGCUAAUACCGCAUGAUGCCUGAGGGCCAAAGACGAAAGUCGUUUGAGGAGGAGCCUGCGUCUGAUUAGGUAGUUGGUGGGGUAAAGGCCUACCAAGCCCUACGAUCAGUAGCUGGUCUGAGAGGAUGAUCAGCCACAUUGGGACUGAGACACGGCCCAAACUCCUACGGGAGGCAGCAGUGGGGAAUAUUGGACAAUGGGCGCAAGCCUGAUCCAGCAAUGCCGCGUGGGUGAAGAAGGUCUUCGGAUUGUAAAGCCCUUUUGGCGGGGACGAUGAUGACGGUACCCGCAGAAUAAGCUCCGGCUAACUUCGUG
This 402-nucleotide ribosomal RNA is filed under the name uncultured bacterium. Its description in RNAcentral is "bacterial SSU rRNA". It matches the Rfam family "Bacterial small subunit ribosomal RNA", at positions 67 to 507 of the family's 1533-position model. The record is from RNAcentral.